This 302-nucleotide unclassified non-coding RNA is filed under the name uncultured fungus. RNAcentral's name for it is "sequence contains ITS1". The stretch from base 1 to 105 matches the Rfam family "5.8S ribosomal RNA", at positions 50 to 154 of the family's 154-position model. Lineage: Eukaryota; Fungi. The record is from RNAcentral.
GAAAUGCGAUAAGUAGUGUGAAUUGCAGAAUUCAGUGAAUCAUCGAAUCUUUGAACGCACAUUGCGCCCUUUGGUAUUCCUUAGGGCAUGCCUGUUCGAGCGUCAUUUAAACCUUCAAGCCCUGCUUGGUGUUGGGUGCCUGUCCCGCCUCCGCGCGUGGACUCACCUCAAAUCCAUUGGCGGCCCCCACGUCGGCUACGAGCGCAGCAGAAACGCGAACUCGUGGGCCCGACGGGGCGGCUCCCAGAAGCCACAUUCACCAUUUUGACCUCGGAUCAGGUAGGGAUACCCGCUGAACUUAA